UACGUAGGGUGCAAGCGUUGUCCGGAAUUAUUGGGCGUAAAGAGCUUGUAGGCGGUUUGUCGCGUCUGCCGUGAAAAUCCGAGGCUCAACCUCGGACUUGCGGUGGGUACGGGCAGACUAGAGUGUGGUAGGGGAGACUGGAAUUCCUGGUGUAGCGGUGAAAUGCGCAGAUAUCAGGAGGAACACCGAUGGCGAAGGCAGGUCUCUGGGCCACUACUGACGCUGAGAAGCGAAAGCGUGGGGAGCGAACAGG
This 253-nucleotide ribosomal RNA is filed under the name uncultured bacterium. Its description in RNAcentral is "partial 16S ribosomal RNA". It matches the Rfam family "Bacterial small subunit ribosomal RNA", at positions 524 to 776 of the family's 1533-position model. The record is from RNAcentral.